AUGACAGUCCAACAUACGUCAGCGCUAACAGCUCACCACACAAAAAGAAAGAAAGAUCAAGCUUUAAACUCAAGGAGCACAAAGAGGACAAGGACUGCAGAGGGAAGAAGAAAUACAAACAUAGAGGCUCCUAAACAAUUGAGAAAGGAUAAUGCUAAAGAAGAUAAGAAAUUGAAGCGUACAAGAAGCGAAAGCAACAAAAUUAACAUUAGAAUCAAUGUUGGAGACAGCAACAGAACCACAACCUCAACAAGUGCUAAUAGAAAGACAUGGAAAUUCGGAAGGCCAACAUACAAAUGCUAA
Molecule: ribosomal RNA, 303 nt
Filed under: Triticum aestivum (bread wheat)
Lineage: Eukaryota; Viridiplantae; Streptophyta; Magnoliopsida; Poales; Poaceae
Description: partial small subunit ribosomal RNA
Source: RNAcentral